AGGAUUAUAGUUUAUUAAAACAAAACAUUUGACUUGCAAUCAAAAAAUAUUGAAAUUCAAUUUAUCUUA
Molecule: transfer RNA, 69 nt
Filed under: Ischyja manlia
Lineage: Eukaryota; Metazoa; Arthropoda; Insecta; Lepidoptera; Erebidae
Description: tRNA-Ala
Rfam family: tRNA
About the family: Transfer RNA (tRNA) molecules are approximately 80 nucleotides in length. Their secondary structure includes four short double-helical elements and three loops (D, anti-codon, and T loops). Further hydrogen bonds mediate the characteristic L-shaped molecular structure. tRNAs have two regions of fundamental functional importance: the anti-codon, which is responsible for specific mRNA codon recognition, and the 3' end, to which the tRNAs corresponding amino acid is attached (by aminoacyl-tRNA synthetases). tRNAs cope with the degeneracy of the genetic code in two manners: having more than one tRNA (with a specific anti-codon) for a particular amino acid; and 'wobble' base-pairing, i.e. permitting non-standard base-pairing at the 3rd anti-codon position.
Source: RNAcentral